Molecule: ribosomal RNA, 426 nt
Filed under: uncultured bacterium
Lineage: Bacteria
Description: bacterial SSU rRNA
Rfam family: Bacterial small subunit ribosomal RNA
Source: RNAcentral
UCGAGAAUCUUCGGCAAUGGGCGCAAGCCUGACCGAGCGACGCCGCGUGCGGGAUGAAGGCCUUCGGGUUGUAAACCGCUGUCGAAGGGGAGGAAAUUGUAGUGGGUUCACCCAUUAUAUUGACCGAUCCUUGGAGGAAGGGCCGGCUAAUCUCGUGCCAGCAGCCGCGGUAAUACGAGAGGCCCAAACGUUAUUCGGAUUUACUGGGCUUAAAGAGUUCGUAGGCGGUCUGGUAAGUGGGGUGUGAAAGCCCUCGGCUCAACCGAGGAAUUGCGCUCCAAACUGCCGGGCUUGAGGGAGAUAGAGGUGAGCGGAACUGAUGGUGGAGCGGUGAAAUGCGUUGAUAUCAUCAGGAACACCAGAGGCGAAGGCGGCUCACUGGGUCUUUUCUGACGCUGAGGAACGAAAGCUAGGGGAGCAAACGGG